RNAcentral lists this ribosomal RNA (253 nucleotides) under uncultured bacterium. RNAcentral's name for it is "partial 16S ribosomal RNA". It matches the Rfam family "Bacterial small subunit ribosomal RNA", at positions 524 to 776 of the family's 1533-position model. The record is from RNAcentral.
UACGUAGGGUGCAAGCGUUAAUCGGAAUUACUGGGCGUAAAGCGCGUGUAGGCGGCCCUGCAAGUCGGAUGUGAAAUCCCACGGCUCAACCAUGGAAGUGCAUUCGAAACUGCAGAGCUAGAGUCCUGGAGAGGAAGGUGGAAUGCUUGGUGUAGAGGUGAAAUUCGUAGAUAUCAAGCGGAACACCGGUGGCGAAGGCGGCCUUCUGGACAGUGACUGACGCUGAGACGCGAAAGCGUGGGGAGCAAACAGG